Picea glauca (white spruce) is the source of this 119-nucleotide non-coding RNA. The record is from Rfam. Lineage: Eukaryota; Viridiplantae; Streptophyta; Pinopsida; Pinales; Pinaceae.
GGGUGUGAUCAUACCAGCGCUAAUGCGUCAGAUCCCAUCAGAACUCCGCAGUUAAGCGCACUUGGGCCAGAGUAGUACUUGGAUGGGUGACCUUUCGGGAAGUCCUAGUGUUGCACCCU